This 312-nucleotide ribosomal RNA is filed under the name Triticum aestivum (bread wheat). RNAcentral's name for it is "partial small subunit ribosomal RNA". Lineage: Eukaryota; Viridiplantae; Streptophyta; Magnoliopsida; Poales; Poaceae. The record is from RNAcentral.
AUGCAUAAAGGUAAUUUCGAAAUAGUCCAAGAGCGUUUGAGGAAGAGACUUAUAGAUUGGAGUGAGCAAUAUUCUUCCUUAGGUGUGAAGGAGAUUCUAAUCAAAUUAGUGACUCAGGCCAUCCCAGCUUAUGUUAUGAGUGUGUUUAAACUCCCUGCCUCAGUAUGUGAUGAGUUGACACGUAUGAUACGCCAAUAUUGGUGGGGAGUGGAGAAUGGGAAGAAGAAAAUGGCUUGGAUGAGCUGGGACAAAUUGAGACUCCCCAAAUCCAUGGGGGGCAUGGGUUUUCGAGACAUGAGGGCAUUUAACUAG